CGACCGCUGGCGGCGUGCUUAUCACAUGCAAGUCGAACGGAAAGGCCCUGCUUUUGUGGGGUGCUCGAGUGGCGAACGGGUGAGUAACACGUGAGUAACCUGCCCUUGACUUUGGGAUAACUUCAGGAAACUGGGGCUAAUACCGGAUAGGAGCUCCUGCUGCAUGGUGGGGGUUGGAAAGUUUCGGCGGUUGGGGAUGGACUCGCGGCUUAUCAGCUUGUUGGUGGGGUAGUGGCUUACCAAGGCUUUGACGGGUAGCCGGCCUGAGAGGGUGACCGGCCACAUUGGGACUGAGAUACGGCCCAGACUCCUACGGGAGGCAGCAGUGGGGAAUAUUGCACAAUGGGCGGAAGCCUGAUGCAGCAACGCCGCGUGCGGGAUGACGGCCUUCGGGUUGUAAACCGCUUUCGCCUGUGACGAAGCGUGAGUGACGGUAAUGGGUAAAGAAGCACCGGCUAACUACGUG
This 466-nucleotide ribosomal RNA is filed under the name uncultured bacterium. RNAcentral describes it as "partial 16S ribosomal RNA". It matches the Rfam family "Bacterial small subunit ribosomal RNA", at positions 30 to 507 of the family's 1533-position model. The record is from RNAcentral.